AGGCCCCAGGAGAGAGAAGAAGGGUCUGAUCCGUAGCCUCCAUGGCAACUAUUGAUCAGCCCUUGCCUCUCUCUUUCGCUCCA
Non-coding RNA from Myotis brandtii (Brandt's bat), 83 nucleotides. The record is from Rfam. NCBI's taxonomy places the organism in Eukaryota, Metazoa, Chordata, Mammalia, Chiroptera, Vespertilionidae.